CAGUAGCGUAUAUUAAAGUUGUUGCAGUUAAAAGCUCGUAGUUGGAUUUCUGGUACGCUGCGCCUAGCCCGCCUGCAUUUAGCGGUGUGUGUGCUGGAGCGCGGUUGCCAUCCUUCUAGAGAACGUUUCUAUCCUUCACUGGACCGGAUUCGCAAUCUAGAUCUUUUACUUUGAAAAAUUAGAGUGUUUAAAGCAGGCUUUUGCUAUGAAUACAUUAGCAUGGAAUAAUAAUAUAGGACUUUGGUUCUAUUUUGUUGGUUUCUAGGACUGAAGUAAUGAUUGAUAGGGAUAGUUGGGGGUGCUAGUAUUCAGCGGCCAGAGGUGAAAUUCUUGGAUUCGCUGAAGACUAACUUAUGCGAAAGCAUUCACCAAGGAUGUCUUCUUUAAUCAAGAACGAAAGUUGGGGGAUCGAAGAUGAUCAGAUACCAU
Molecule: ribosomal RNA, 429 nt
Filed under: uncultured eukaryote
Lineage: Eukaryota
Description: SSU rRNA
Rfam family: Eukaryotic small subunit ribosomal RNA
Source: RNAcentral